This 264-nucleotide unclassified non-coding RNA is filed under the name Hevea brasiliensis (rubber tree). Lineage: Eukaryota; Viridiplantae; Streptophyta; Magnoliopsida; Malpighiales; Euphorbiaceae. The record is from RNAcentral.
GACAGAGAGAGAGAUUUGUCUUUAUUGUUGUUGUUUUUGCUCAUUUAGUGAAUAAAAUUAUAGUUUAUGCUAGGUUGUUGAUGAAUUUUAUAGUAUAAAACACUAGUUUGCCCGAUUUAUAGGUUACCUUUUUUUCUAAUUUUUAUUUAUUUUGGAAAUUAUUUUUAGUAAAAUACAUAAGUAAUUGAACGAUAUCUUUUCAGUGGUAAUAAAGUCCAUUCUUUACCAUCUACCUAGUUAUUUUUGUUUUAAAUUGAUUAAUGC